UACACGGGGCGUACUCUUUCCAUGACAUUUUUUAGUGUAAUAUGAAAUAACUUUGCAGACGUCAAACCCAUGUCAAAAUAUCAAGGGCAAUUUCAAUUCUGAAAACAAUUUUUGUUGCCCAUAAAAAGCACAGCUGGGCCGGGCGCGGUGGCUCACGCCUGUAAUCCCAGCGCUUUGGGAGGCGGAGGCGGGCGGAUCACGAGGUCAGGAGAUCGAGACCAUCCUGACCAACACGGUGAAACCCCGUCUCUAAUGAGCCAUCACGCCCGGCCAGCUAAUACGUUAAAAUAUCUGUACAUCUUAUUUCAUUGCAGGGGACAUGCUUUAAUGUCAGUUUCAUAA
This 342-nucleotide long non-coding RNA is filed under the name Homo sapiens (human). Its description in RNAcentral is "non-protein coding lnc-EXOC2-13:1". The record is from RNAcentral. Lineage: Eukaryota; Metazoa; Chordata; Mammalia; Primates; Hominidae.